UGUACUUCUCUAUAGAGCAAAACUGUUCAGAGGUUAUUGAUCUUACUUUAUUUAGUUGGCCAUAUUUAAGAUGCCCCUAUUAAAAAUACGAAUGAUAGUUGGUUUACUGAUAACAAUAGUUUUCAUA
Molecule: long non-coding RNA, 127 nt
Organism: Mustela erminea (ermine)
Lineage: Eukaryota; Metazoa; Chordata; Mammalia; Carnivora; Mustelidae
Exons: 2
Source: RefSeq, a predicted model, not a curated record